Molecule: ribosomal RNA, 630 nt
Filed under: Clostridium botulinum
Lineage: Bacteria; Bacillati; Bacillota; Clostridia; Eubacteriales; Clostridiaceae
Description: bacterial SSU rRNA
Rfam family: Bacterial small subunit ribosomal RNA
Source: RNAcentral
AGCGAUGAAGCUCCUUCGCAGCUGGGUUACCUCCGGACAGGUGAGAAACGCGUGGGUAACCUGCCUCGUAGAGGGGAAUAGCCUCCCGAAAGGGAGAUUAAUACCCCAUAACGUAUGAAGGUCGCAUGACUUUUGUACCUAAGGACUCAUCCUCUCUGAUAUGGACCCGCGGCGCAUUAUCUAGUUGGUGAGGUAAGGGCUCACCAAGGCAACGAUGCGUAGCCGACCUGAGAGGGUGAUCGGCCACUUUGGAACUGAGACACGGUCCAGACUCCUACGGGAGGCAGCUGUGGGGAAUAUUGCAUAAUGGGGGAAACCCUGACGCAGCAACGCCGCGUGAAUGAAGAAGGCCUUAAGUUUGUAAAGUUCUGUCAUAUGGGAAGAUAAUGACGGUACCAUAUGAGGAAGCCACGGCUAACUACGUGCCAGCAGCCGCGGUAAUACGUAGGUGGCAAGCGUUGUCCGGAUUUACUGGGCGUAAAGGAUGCGUAUGCUCGACAUUUAAGUCGGAUGUGAAUUACCCGGGCUCAACUUGGGUGCUGCACUUGAAUCUGGGUGUCUAGAGUGCAGGAGAGGAAAGCGGAAUUCCUAGUGUAGCGGUGAAAUGCGUAGAGAUUAGGAAGAACACCC